RNAcentral lists this ribosomal RNA (480 nucleotides) under uncultured organism. RNAcentral describes it as "partial 16S ribosomal RNA". It matches the Rfam family "Bacterial small subunit ribosomal RNA", at positions 329 to 800 of the family's 1533-position model. The record is from RNAcentral.
ACGUACACUCCUGCGGGAGGCAGCAGUGGGGAAUUUUGGACAAUGGGCGAAAGCCUGAUCCAGCCAUGCCGCGUGCAGGAUGAAGGCCUUCGGGUUGUAAACUGCUUUUGUACGGAACGAAACGGCCUUUUCUAAUAAAGAGGGCUAAUGACGGUACCGUAAGAAUAAGCACCGGCUAACUACGUGCCAGCAGCCGCGGUAAUACGUAGGGUGCAAGCGUUAAUCGGAAUUACUGGGCGUAAAGCGUGCGCAGGCGGUUAUGUAAGACAGUUGCGAAAUCCCCGGGCUCAACCUGGGAACUGCAUCUGUGACUGCAUAGCUAGAGUACGGUAGAGGGGGAUGGAAUUCCGCGUGUAGCAGUGAAAUGCGUAGAUAUGCGGAGGAACACCGAUGGCGAAGGCAAUCCCCUGGACCUGUACUGACGCUCAUGCACGAAAGCGUGGGGAGCAAACAGGAUUAGAUACCCGGGUAGUCCCAUGA